AGUUUGAUCCUGGCUCAGGAUGAACGCUAGCUACAGGCUUAACACAUGCAAGUCGAGGGGAAACGAUAUUGGAAGCUUGCUUCCGAUAGGCGUCGACCGGCGCACGGGUGAGUAACGCGUAUCCAACCUGCCCAUCACUUGGGGAUAACCUUGCGAAAGUAAGACUAAUGCCCAAUGACGUUGAAAGAAGACAUCUGAUUUCAACUAAAGAUUUAUCGGUGAUGGAUGGGGAUGCGUCUGAUUAGCUUGUUGGCGGGGUAACGGCCCACCAAGGCUACGAUCAGUAGGGGUUCUGAGAGGAAGGUCCCCCACAUUGGAACUGAGACACGGUCCAAACUCCUACGGGAGGCAGCAGUGAGGAAUAUUGGUCAAUGGGCGAGAGCCUGAACCAGCCAAGUAGCGUGCAGGAUGACGGCCCUAUGGGUUGUAAACUGCUUUUAUAAGGGAAUAAGGUGGGGCUCGUGAGCUCCUCUGCAUGUACCUUAUGAAUAAGGACCGGCUAAUUCCGUGCCAGCAGCCGCGGUAAUACGGAAGGUCCGGGCGUUAUCCGGAUUUAUUGGGUUUAAAGGGAGCGUAGGCCGCAGGUUAAGCGUGUUGUGAAAUGUAGGGGCUCAACCUCUGCACUGCAGCGCGAACUGGCUUGCUUGAGUACGCACAACGUGGGCGGAAUUCGUGGUGUAGCGGUGAAAUGCUUAGAUAUCACGAAGAACUCCGAUUGCGAAGGCAGCUCACGGGAGCGCAACUGACGCUGAAGCUCGAAAGUGCGGGUAUCGAACAGGAUUAGAUACCCUGGUAGUCCGCACGGUAAACGAUGGAUGCCCGCUGUUGGCUUGAAUUAGUCAGCGGCCAAGCGAAAGCAUUAAGCAUCCCACCUGGGGAGUACGCCGGCAACGGUGAAACUCAAAGGAAUUGACG
Molecule: ribosomal RNA, 915 nt
Filed under: uncultured bacterium
Lineage: Bacteria
Description: bacterial SSU rRNA
Rfam family: Bacterial small subunit ribosomal RNA
Source: RNAcentral